UACGGGGGGAGCAAGCGUUGUUCGGAUUUACUGGGCGUAAAGCGUGCGCAGGCGGUUGUGCAAGACAGAUGUGAAAUCCCCGGGCUCAACCUGGGAAUUGCAUUUGUGACUGCACGGCUAGAGUGUGUCAGAGGGGGGUAGAAUUCCACGUGUAGCAGUGAAAUGCGUAGAGAUGUGGAGGAAUACCGAUGGCGAAGGCAGCCCCCUGGGAUAACACUGACGCUCAUGCACGAAAGCGUGGGGAGCAAACAGG
RNAcentral lists this ribosomal RNA (253 nucleotides) under uncultured bacterium. RNAcentral's name for it is "partial 16S ribosomal RNA". It matches the Rfam family "Bacterial small subunit ribosomal RNA", at positions 524 to 776 of the family's 1533-position model. The record is from RNAcentral.